CUCAGUUCGGAUUGGAGGCUGAAACCCGCCUCCAUGAAGUUGGAUUCGCUAGUAACCGCGCAUCAGCCAUGGCGCGGUGAAUACGUUCCCGGGCCUUGUACACACCGCCCGUCAAGCCAUGGGAGCCGGGGGUGCCUGAAGUUCGUUACCGCAAGGAUCGACCUAGGGCAAAACUGGUGACUGGGGCUAAGUCGUAACAAGGUAAC
Molecule: ribosomal RNA, 206 nt
Filed under: uncultured bacterium
Lineage: Bacteria
Description: partial 16S ribosomal RNA
Rfam family: Bacterial small subunit ribosomal RNA
Source: RNAcentral